Long non-coding RNA from Manacus vitellinus (golden-collared manakin), 160 nucleotides. RefSeq lists it as uncharacterized. The transcript is spliced from 3 exons. Lineage: Eukaryota; Metazoa; Chordata; Aves; Passeriformes; Pipridae. The record is from RefSeq and is a predicted model, not a curated record.
UGCGGGGGCUGCGCUGGCUCUGGAGGCUCUCGUGGGUCCUGCUGAUCUGCUACAAGAGCUGCUGGGACAGUGCCUUCCAGGUCACAGAGGAGCUCAGAACAUCGCUGCAGCUGAGACUGGAGGGGAGCGAGGAGGAGGAGGAGGAGAAUGGGAGCUCCGA